GGGCCAUUAGCUCAGUUGGUAGAGCAGGAGACUCUUAAUCUCUUGGUCGAGUGUUCGAGUCACUCAUGGCCCACCA
This 76-nucleotide transfer RNA is filed under the name Gammaproteobacteria bacterium. RNAcentral's name for it is "tRNA-Lys". It matches the Rfam family "tRNA". From Rfam's summary of the family: Transfer RNA (tRNA) molecules are approximately 80 nucleotides in length. RNAcentral also lists the same sequence under 2 other names. Lineage: Bacteria; Pseudomonadati; Pseudomonadota; Gammaproteobacteria. The record is from RNAcentral.